AUGUGUUCCUUUGACCUUCUUACACAAGCGCCUUUUGAAAGAAAUCCCUCAACAAAGACUCAAGAAAGAAUCCGUAAAGUUUGGGGAAAGCAUUGUCUGUCACUGAUAAGUGACAGCAGGUCUGGCUGCCGGGGAUACACUCCGCUGACCCUAAGGAAGAGCCGAGACUCGAAACAAAAUUCGCCACUUUUGUUAUCUAGAAAAUUUGGCGGAGAGGUGAUAAAGCUCCAUGACCAACGACGUGACUCUGAUGGACGAAUUAAUACAGACGGCGGAGGAGCGCCACGGGUUUCGGCUACGCUUCUGCCGUUUUUGAAAGAAAAGCUAAUUGUUAGCGGCCAUGUGACAUUACAGGAGCCCAGAAAGGAAAGGGUGGGAGGGAGGGAGAGGAGUUCAAGGCAGUUCAGGGUCAGAGCGAGCUCAGGCAUCCUGUCAUUAGCUCACGCUCCCCGCAGGCUGGAGGCAAAACACUGCUUACCCGAAAAAGGAGUGGGUGAGAAGUGGGCAGAGAACGGUGGGGAGAGAACGCGGGGGGGGGGGGGGCACGCGGCGGCGAGGGGCGGGGGGCGGGGGACCCGGGGCCAGCCCGCGGACUUGGGGAGCGAAGGCACCGGCCACAAAAACGCUGAGAAAAGCAACUGCCACGGAGACGACAACCCCGGGCGGCUGCCCAGGCCCCCUCCCCGCCGGCUCCCCGGGUUUCCCGCACUCGCGGCCCCUCCGCCGCGGCCCCGCGCUCAGGGGUGUGACCCGCCGGCGGGAGGCCGCGCUCAGCUUUGUCUCGGCGGCUCCCCACGCGCGGGCUCCCGCUCCUCCCCCGCGCCCGCCACCCGCUCACACCCCCCGCGUCUCCAAGGAGCUGGGAGCGCCGCGGCCGCCGCCGCCGCCGCCGCCGCCGCCGCCUCCGCCUCGUCGCCCACCUCCCGCAGCCUCGCGCCCUUCCUUCCCCGCGGCCCCGCCCCCGCCCCCGCCCCCGCCGGGGGGAAUCUGUGUCUCGGGGGACUUUCGGCCUCCUCGCGCCCCCCCGCCUCCCCCGGGGUCCAGGUGGGCAGCGAGCCCCGGGGGUGGCGGCGACCGCGCGCGCCUCCGCGAAGGAGCCCGUCACCUCCCCACAGCCCAGCCCAGCCCAGCCCAGCCCCGGAAAUGCCCCGGCGCCCCGGGGAUCGCGCGCGGGGCCGGGGGCCACCGGCACCCGCGAGCCCCCCCGGCCGCGCCUGCCUCUCUCAACUUCCCGGCCGGGCCUGA
This 1245-nucleotide long non-coding RNA is filed under the name Canis lupus familiaris (dog). Its description in RNAcentral is "lncRNA (ENSCAFG00040006153.1)". The record is from RNAcentral. Lineage: Eukaryota; Metazoa; Chordata; Mammalia; Carnivora; Canidae.